RNAcentral lists this ribosomal RNA (388 nucleotides) under uncultured bacterium. RNAcentral's name for it is "bacterial SSU rRNA". It matches the Rfam family "Bacterial small subunit ribosomal RNA", at positions 28 to 417 of the family's 1533-position model. The record is from RNAcentral.
GACGAACGCUGGCGGCGUGCUUAACACAUGCAGGUCGAGCGGUAAGGCCCUUUCGGGGGUACACGAGCGGCGAACGGGUGAGUAACACGUGGGUGACCUGCCCUCAGCUCUGGGAUAAGCCUGGGAAACCGGGUCUAAUACCGGAUAUGACUCCAUGACGCAUGUUGUGGGGUGGAAAGCCUUGUGCGGCUGAGGAUGGGCCCGCGGCCUAUCAGCUUGUUGGUGGGGUGAUGGCCUACCAAGGCGACGACGGGUAGCCGGCCUGAGAGGGCGACCGGCCACACUGGGACUGAGACACGGCCCAGACUCCUACGGGAGGCAGCAGUGGGGAAUCUUGCGCAAUGGGCGAAAGCCUGACGCAGCGACGCCGCGUGAGGGAUGACGGCCU